RNAcentral lists this ribosomal RNA (445 nucleotides) under uncultured bacterium. Its description in RNAcentral is "partial 16S ribosomal RNA". It matches the Rfam family "Bacterial small subunit ribosomal RNA", at positions 354 to 796 of the family's 1533-position model. The record is from RNAcentral.
GUGAGGAAUAUUGGUCAAUGGGCGGGAGCCUGAACCAGCCAAGUCGCGUGAAGGAAGAAGGAUCUAUGGUUCGUAAACUUCUUUUGCAGGGGAAUAAAGUGCAGGACGUGUCCUGUUUUGUAUGUACCCUGAGAAUAAGGAUCGGCUAACUCCGUGCCAGCAGCCGCGGUAAUACGGAGGAUCCGAGCGUUAUCCGGAUUUAUUGGGUUUAAAGGGUGCGUAGGUGGUUUGAUAAGUCAGCGGUGAAAGUUUGCAACUUAACUGUAAAAAUGCCGUUGAAACUGUCGGACUUGAGUGUAAAUGAGGUAGGCGGAAUGCGUGGUGUAGCGGUGAAAUGCAUAGAUAUCACGCAGAACUCCGAUUGCGAAGGCAGCUUACUAAGCUACAACUGACACUGAAGCACGAAAGCGUGGGGAUCAAACAGGAUUAGAUACCCGAGUAGUCC